RNAcentral lists this ribosomal RNA (1346 nucleotides) under uncultured bacterium. RNAcentral's name for it is "partial 16S ribosomal RNA". It matches the Rfam family "Bacterial small subunit ribosomal RNA", at positions 28 to 1381 of the family's 1533-position model. The record is from RNAcentral.
GACGAACGCUGGCGGCGUGCUUAACACAUGCAAGUCGAACGGAAAGGCCCUGCUUUUGUGGGGUGCUCGAGUGGCGAACGGGUGAGUAACACGUGAGUAACCUGCCCUUGACUUUGGGAUAACUUCAGGAAACUGGGGCUAAUACCGGAUAGGAGCUCCUGCUGCAUGGUGGGGGUUGGAAAGUUUCGGCGGUUGGGGAUGGACUCGCGGCUUAUCAGCUUGUUGGUGGGGUAGUGGCUUACCAAGGCUUUGACGGGUAGCCGGCCUGAGAGGGUGACCGGCCACAUUGGGACUGAGAUACGGCCCAGACUCCUACGGGAGGCAGCAGUGGGGAAUAUUGCACAAUGGGCGGAAGCCUGAUGCAGCAACGCCGCGUGCGGGAUGACGGCCUUCGGGUUGUAAACCGCUUUCGCCUGUGACGAAGCGUGAGUGACGGUAAUGGGUAAAGAAGCACCGGCUAACUACGUGCCAGCAGCCGCGGUGAUACGUAGGGUGCGAGCGUUGUCCGGAUUUAUUGGGCGUAAGGGGCUCGUAGGUGGUUGAUCGCGUCGGAGGUGUAAUCUUGGGGCUUAACCCUGAGCGUGCUUUCGAUACGGGUUGACUUGAGGAAGGUAGGGGAGAAUGGAAUUCCUGGUGGAGCGGUGGAAUGCGCAGAUAUCAGGAGGAACACCAGUGGCGAAGGCGGUUCUCUGGGCCUUUCCUGACGCUGAGGAGCGAAAGCGUGGGGAGCGAACAGGCUUAGAUACCCUGGUAGUCCACGCUGUAAACGGUGGGUACUAGGUGUGGGGUCCAUUCCACGGGUUCCGUGCCGUAGCUAACGCUUUAAGUACCCCGCCUGGGGAGUACGGCCGCAAGGCUAAAACUCAAAGGAAUUGACGGGGCCCCGCACAAGCGGCGGAGCAUGCGGAUUAAUUCGAUGCAACGCGUAGAACCUUACCUGGGUUUGACAUGGAUCGGGAGUGCUCAGAGAUGGGUGUGCCUCUUUUGGGGUCGGUUCACAGGUGGUGCAUGGCUGUCGUCAGCUCGUGUCGUGAGAUGUUGGGUUAAGUCCCGCAACGAGCGCAACCCUUGUUCACUGUUGCCAGCACGUUAUGGUGGGGACUCAGUGGAGACCGCCGGGGUCAACUCGGAGGAAGGUGGGGAUGACGUCAAGUCAUCAUGCCCCUUAUGUCCAGGGCUUCACGCAUGCUACAAUGGCUGGUACAGAGAGUGGCGAGCCUGUGAGGGUGAGCGAAUCUCGGAAAGCCGGUCUCAGUUCGGAUUGGGGUCUGCAACUCGACCUCAUGAAGUCGGAGUCGCUAGUAAUCGCAGAUCAGCAACGCUGCGGUGAAUACGUUCCCGGGGCU